This 477-nucleotide ribosomal RNA is filed under the name uncultured bacterium. Its description in RNAcentral is "bacterial SSU rRNA". It matches the Rfam family "Bacterial small subunit ribosomal RNA", at positions 365 to 832 of the family's 1533-position model. The record is from RNAcentral.
UUCGCAAUGCCCGAAAGGGUGACUAUGCGACGCCGCGUGAGUGAUGAAGGCCUUCGGGUUGUAAAACUCUGUCAGGUGGGAUGAAUAUACGACACUGAAUAGGUGUCGGACUUGACCGUACCACCAGAGGAAGCCACGGCUAACUCCGUGCCAGCAGCCGCGGUAAUACGGAGGUGGCAAGCGUUGUUCGGAAUUAUUGGGCGUAAAGAGCACGUAGGUGGAUUUGUAAGUCAGACGUGAAAUCUUCUCGUUCAACGGGAUAAAGUGCAUCUGUAACUGCAAACCUUGAGUGUAGGAGGGGAAAGUGGAACUUCUGGUGGAGCGGUGAAAUGCGUAGAUAUCAGAAGGAACGCCGGCGGCGAAAGCGACUUUCUAGCCUAUUACUGACACUGAGUGUGCGAAAGCUAGGGGAGCAAACGGGAUUAGAUACCCCGGUAGUCCUAGCCGUAAACGAUGGGCACUAAGUAGAGGGGUUUU